RNAcentral lists this ribosomal RNA (468 nucleotides) under uncultured bacterium. Its description in RNAcentral is "partial 16S ribosomal RNA". It matches the Rfam family "Bacterial small subunit ribosomal RNA", at positions 28 to 507 of the family's 1533-position model. The record is from RNAcentral.
GACGAACGCUGGCGGCGUGCUUAACACAUGCAAGUCGAACGGAAAGGCCCUGCUUUUGUGGGGUGCUCGAGUGGCGAACGGGUGAGUAACACGUGAGUAACCUGCCCUUGACUUUGGGAUAACUUCAGGAAACUGGGGCUAAUACCGGAUAGGAGCUCCUGCUGCAUGGUGGGGGUUGGAAAGUUUCGGCGGUUGGGGAUGGACUCGCGGCUUAUCAGCUUGUUGGUGGGGUAGUGGCUUACCAAGGCUUUGACGGGUAGCCGGCCUGGGAGGGUGACCGGCCACAUUGGGACUGCGAUACGGCCCAGACUCCUACGGGAGGCAGCAGUGGGGAAUAUUGCACAAUGGGCGGAAGCCUGAUGCAGCAACGCCGCGUGCGGGAUGACGGCCUUCGGGUUGUAAACCGCUUUCGACUGUGACGAAGCGUGAGUGACGGUAAUGGGUAAAGAAGCACCGGCUAACUACGUG